UCGAGCAGACGCGACCGUGUACGCGUAUAGAAACGCGCGGGCGCACUUUUAGGAACUCUCCGGUGUGUGUUCCACGAUGAAGAACACCAAAGCAAGACGACGACCAGCUCUCUCUAUCUCUCUUUCUCUUUCUAUCUAUCUAUCUCUCUUUCUCGCUCUCGCUCUCUCGGCGAGAGAGACGAAAAAAAACGACACACCGUGAUUAUACGGCUCGGCACUGUUACUACCUCCCGCGAGAGCCAACCAGCGAGCGAACUCGACCGACUCUCUCCACUCCCGUGAACUAUUUUACACAACGAGUACGAGCUGACUGUCGUAGUACAGCAACGUGCGACGUGUCUCUCGGAUGAUCCCGGCGGCGAUGAUGAUGAUACCUGUGCUGCUCGAUCGCGGCUCUCUCGAGUCUGUCAUCGUGACACACCGCGCGGUGUUUUCGCUCGUGGGCCCUUGACGGGCCCCGUCUCGCGGUUAUAUCGGCAGCGGCACCGCACUGUCAGACACGGACUACGACAGAACAGCCGAGCGACGACUGACUCCUCCGCUCGCGAACCACCGGCAACGUUGCCACAUCACUACCGACUCGCGAUCGGACAAGUCUUCGGCCACCGACGGACAGGUACGAGGUACGACGGUCACUGCGUUCUUGGUGGUGGCGCGCGACCGACUGUUCCAUUCGAUUUUUCUUUUCCUCUUCUGUGUCCCACCGAUUGAUCGGCUCUAUGCCCCUCAACACCUUUGUCACCUGUCCAUUGCAUGCGUCGAUGUGUUCGCCGUGUCUAACCAGGUAACUCUAUUUAUCUAGUUGUCGCUCUUUCUCUACCUCUUACACGCUUUCUCUCUCUCUCUCUCUCUAUCUCUCUGUUUUUGUUAUCGGCCGCGACUCGUGUGUCAAACGGUUAGACGUUUCUGCUCACGCUCGCGUCAUUCCGAACGAACCCUCGUCGCGCUGGCGAUAGAGGGUCACUAAGCUCGUCAGCUACGGUCGGUCGUUGUCGCUGUCUGCCGUUCACUGCAUUCGGAUUCGGUCGGUGCAUCGAAAUCCUCGGUACUCCGGACGAGCACACAGCGUCGAGCUAACUGGCCACAUCUGCUGUCGAUUCGCUAGGAGUGCUCCGCGAACUACAGCGCGGCCGGCCAGUCUGACUGCUGCUAGUCAGUAUUGCUAUGCCUCACUUUCUUACUCCUGCCUGCCAACCUACCAGUCUACCCAGCCUUCUCGAAUCGGCCGUGCCGUGCCUACCUCUCUCGCGUAUUCUCUUUCGCCCCUCUUGCCUCUCUCGCCUAGCCACUUUCCUUCUCCUUUCCUCCUGCCCUACCCUUCGUCCUUUUCUCAUUCACUCGCUCGUUCGCUGGCGCUGUUUGUCCUGCUCGCGCCCGAACCAUUUCACUCGCGCCUACCCACCUUCCUAUCCCCCUCCUCGUCUAACGGCCGCCUCUCGCUCUUUCGAAUGAAUGGUUUAGUUCGGGAGGGCCGCCGUGCCGGAAACAGCCGAUCGCGUCCGGAAAUCACCGAGCUCGGACUUCCCGCAUUAGUGCGCUUCUUGAAUAAAAUUCCAUUCCGUUCUUCCUUUCUUCCUUCCUUGCUUCCUUCCUUACUUCCUUCCUUCCUUCCUUCCUUCCUUCCUUCCUUCCUUCCCAUCUUCCAUCCUUUCCUUCCUACCUCCCGCCCCCGGAUCUUCACCAUCUUCACGCUCUUCCGAAUUUCGCUACCCGACGUACCCGACUCCCGUACCGUCGCGACGGUUUCGUCCGUUCUGCGCGGGUGGCUGAUUUAAAUUUGAUCCCAUCAUUUCAUGAAUCAUCCUAGCAGGGUAAUGUAGGACCUCGGAUCAAUUCUAGUCGAGAAUGUCGAAUUACGCGAAAGGGUAAGUACCCGAUAUUUGUAUCCAUAUUUCGGACACCCGAAUCCAGCCGAUUCAAACCGACCCGACCCGAACCCGUGUACCCGCACACCUCCGGCGUGAUCCGUUGCACUCGUUCGCGUUCCACGAACCUUUCGUCGGAACUUUUCGUGCGUGAAAUUGUAAUACUUUUUGACGCGUGCGUUUCGUUUCUAGUGCACGCGCUUCUGCGCGUGUUUUUCCCUUCUUCCUCUAUAGCGUCUCGUAUCUAGUUUUACCCGCUCGCGAACGGUGUGUCUUGUCUCUGCAGCUCGUCGCGGGUGUCACGGUAACGGUUGUCAGCAUGUUAACCGGGGAGGACGAGUUAAUUCGUCCUUUGUACCCAUUUGUACCCUUCGACUGGAUCUCCUGUUUUCGCGUGUAUUCGUCGGAGAGUAACCUGGACUAAUGCUAUCGGGAUAUCUGCGCCGGCAUAAAUUAGAUCGUAUCUGCGUGAAUUAUAGGGUGAAUCGCUUCGAAUCAUUUUCAUUUGCUGAGAAUCUCCAGUAUUCGUGAUCUAGCUUGAAAUAAAUAUCUCUUCCAAUGCGAACCUGCACAGAGCACGAGGGUUAAAUCCGGUGCAGUGUUAUGGUUUGAAGGUUAUGGGACACAUGUUCGCUCGCAGAAGAAUUGGCGGCAGCGCGUUCCAUAUUCCGUGAAACUGGAGCAGUAUUUUAGGGUGAAAAUUGGCAGCGAUUAAAAGAACUGCAGCGUCUGGUGAACUAAAUUAUGCAAGAAAAAUAUACCGAGCUUCUUCGACGGAAUACGUCAGCGCAGCAGAAAAGCCGCCGCCUUAACUACCGUUUCGCGCAUAUUUUUCAAACAUCCCUUUACGAUCCACUCGAACCUGGAACGUUGAAAGCAGGAUAAUUUGUGGCCACACUUAUGACGAGUGAAAUAAAACAUCGUGAUCCGAAACCCCCGUUGGAAAUCAGUGGAAAGUAUUUUUAAGAAAAUAUAAAAUCCGUUGUAUUUGUAGAAAAUAAUUUUCCUCGUUAAACAAGAAAAACAGCUUGUUGCGAUUUGGUAUCCGAAUAUCUUCGUCCCUAAACAGUUUAUGGCACCUUUAUCGGUUCAAAUGAUCGUGAUGGUUCAUUUUAAUGCGGGAUAAGUUGCAUCGGAGCGUUCUUAUGCAGUGAAUGCACUUUUACAAUAAGAGAGAAUUCAUAGAUUUACUUUUUCACAACGA
Non-coding RNA from Megalopta genalis, 3069 nucleotides. The record is from RefSeq and is a predicted model, not a curated record. Lineage: Eukaryota; Metazoa; Arthropoda; Insecta; Hymenoptera; Halictidae.